ACGGGGUGCAGCAGGCGCGAAAACUCCGCAAUACACGAAAGUGUGACGGGGGAACCCCGAGUGCACUCACGCAAGUGAGUGCUUUUGUGAAGUGUAAAUAGCUUCACGAAUAAGAGCUGGGUAAGACCGGUGCCAGCCGCCGCGGUAACACCGGCAGCUCGAGUGGUGAUCACUAUUAUUGGGCCUAAAGCGUCCGUAGCCGGUUUGGUAAGUCCUUGGGCAAAUCCUGUCGCUUAACGGCAGGAAUUCUGAGGAUACUGUCAGACUUGAGGCCGAGAGAGGUCGGAGGUACUUCUGGGGUAGCGGUGAAAUGCUAUAAUCCUAGAGGGACCACCGGUGGCGAAGGCGUCCGACUAGAGCGGGCCUGACGGUAAGGGACGAAAGCCAGGGGAGCGAACGGGAUUAGAUACCCCGGUAGUCCUGGCCGUAAACGCUGUGGGCUAGGUGUUGCAUGCUCUACGAGGGCGUGCAGUGCCGAAGAGAAGUUGAUAAGCCUACCGCCUGGGAAGUACUAUCGCAAGAU
Molecule: ribosomal RNA, 523 nt
Filed under: uncultured archaeon
Lineage: Archaea
Description: bacterial SSU rRNA
Rfam family: Archaeal small subunit ribosomal RNA
Source: RNAcentral